GAUGAACGCUGGCGGCGUGCCUAAUACAUGCAAGUCGAGCGAAUGGAUUAAGAGCUUGCUCUUAUGAAGUUAGCGGCGGACGGGUGAGUAACACGUGGGUAACCUGCCCAUAAGACUGGGAUAACUCCGGGAAACCGGGGCUAAUACCGGAUAACAUUUUGAACCGCAUGGUUCGAAAUUGAAAGGCGGCUUCGGCUGUCACUUAUGGAUGGACCCGCGUCGCAUUAGCUAGUUGGUGAGGUAACGGCUCACCAAGGCAACGAUGCGUAGCCGACCUGAGAGGGUGAUCGGCCACACUGGGACUGAGACACGGCCCAGACUCCUACGGGAGGCAGCAGUAGGGAAUCUUCCGCAAUGGACGAAAGUCUGACGGAGCAACGCCGCGUGAGUGAUGAAGGCUUUCGGGUCGUAAAACUCUGUUGUUAGGGAAGAACAAGUGCUAGUUGAAUAAGUCGGCACCUUGACGGUACCUAACCAGAAAGCCACGGCUAACUACGUGCCAGCCGCCGCCGUAA
RNAcentral lists this ribosomal RNA (515 nucleotides) under uncultured bacterium. RNAcentral describes it as "partial 16S ribosomal RNA". It matches the Rfam family "Bacterial small subunit ribosomal RNA", at positions 28 to 523 of the family's 1533-position model. The record is from RNAcentral.